AUGAACGCUGGCGGCGUGCCUAAUACAUGCAAGUCGAGCGAACAGAUAAGGAGCUUGCUCCUUUGACGUUAGCGGCGGACGGGUGAGUAACACGUGGGUAACCUACCUAUAAGACUGGGAUAACUUCGGGAAACCGGAGCUAAUACCGGAUAACAUUUGGAACCGCAUGGUUCUAAAGUGAAAGAUGGUUUUGCUAUCACUUAUAGAUGGACCCGCGCCGUAUUAGCUAGUUGGUAAGGUAACGGCUUACCAAGGCGACGAUACGUAGCCGACCUGAGAGGGUGAUCGGCCACACUGGAACUGAGACACGGUCCAGACUCCUUCGGGAGGCAGCAGUAGGGAAUCUUCCGCAAUGGGCGAAAGCCUGACGGAGCAACGCCGCGUGAGUGAUGAAGGGUUUCGGCUCGUAAAACUCUGUUAUUAGGGAAGAACAAAUGUGUAAGUAACUGUGCACGUCUUGACGGUACCUAAUCAGAAAGCCACGGCUAACUACGUG
RNAcentral lists this ribosomal RNA (496 nucleotides) under uncultured bacterium. RNAcentral's name for it is "partial 16S ribosomal RNA". It matches the Rfam family "Bacterial small subunit ribosomal RNA", at positions 29 to 507 of the family's 1533-position model. The record is from RNAcentral.